Molecule: ribosomal RNA, 298 nt
Filed under: uncultured bacterium
Lineage: Bacteria
Description: partial 16S ribosomal RNA
Rfam family: Bacterial small subunit ribosomal RNA
Source: RNAcentral
GGUAGUCCACGCUGUAAACGAUGAGUACUAGGUGUCGGGGGUAUCGACCCCCUCGGUGCCGCAGCUAACGCGAUAAGUGCCCCGCCUGGGGACUACGGCCGCAAGGUUAAAACUCAAAGGAAUUGACGGGGCCCGCACAAGCGGUGGAGCAUGUGAUUCAAUUCGACGCAACGCGAAGAACCUUACCCGGGCUAGACAACAGAGGACACCCCUAGAAAUAGGGUCUUCCCUUCGGGGGACCUCUGGUUCAGGUGCUGCAUGGCUGUCGUCAGCUCGUGCCGUGAGGUGUUGGGUUAAG